This 104-nucleotide non-coding RNA is filed under the name unclassified sequences. RNAcentral describes it as "NiCo sequence". It matches the Rfam family "NiCo (Nickel/Cobalt) riboswitch aptamer". The record is from RNAcentral.
GCGGGGCGAACUGAACAGGCAAUAUUUCUUCCGGGCGGGGAAAUAUGUGGCUGGGCCGCGGAAGCGGCAGCAGAAGGAGCAUUCAGCGCAUCUGCGGGACAGGA